This 252-nucleotide ribosomal RNA is filed under the name uncultured bacterium. RNAcentral's name for it is "partial 16S ribosomal RNA". It matches the Rfam family "Bacterial small subunit ribosomal RNA", at positions 524 to 775 of the family's 1533-position model. The record is from RNAcentral.
UACGUAGGGUGCGAGCGUUAAUCGGAAUUACUGGGCGUAAAGCGUGCGCAGGCGGUUUUGUAAGCCAGGUGUGAAAUCCCCGGGCUCAACCUGGGAAUGGCAUUUGGGACUGCAAGGCUGGAGUGCGGCAGAGGAGACUGGAAUUCCUGGUGUAGCAGUGAAAUGCGUAGAUAUCAGGAGGAACACCGAUGGCGAAGGCAGGUCUCUGGGCUGACACUGACGCUCAUGCACGAAAGCGUGGGGAGCAACAGG